Molecule: ribosomal RNA, 468 nt
Filed under: uncultured bacterium
Lineage: Bacteria
Description: partial 16S ribosomal RNA
Rfam family: Bacterial small subunit ribosomal RNA
Source: RNAcentral
GACGAACGCUGGCGGCGUGCUUAACACAUGCAAGUCGAACGGAAAGGCCCUGCUUUUGUGGGGUGCUCGAGUGGCGAACGGGUGAGUAACACGUGAGUAACCUGCCCUUGACUUUGGGAUAACUUCAGGAAACUGGGGCUAAUAUCGGAUAGGAGCUCCCGUUGCAUGGUGGGGGUUGGAAAGUUUCGGCGGUUGGGGAUGGACUCGCGGCUUAUCAGCUUGUUGGUGGGGUAGUGGCUUACCAAGGCUUUGACGGGUAGCCGGCCUGAGAGGGUGACCGGCCACAUUGGGACUGAGAUACGGCCCAGACUCCUACGGGAGGCAGCAGUGGGGAAUAUUGCACAAUGGGCGGAAGCCUGAUGCAGCAACGCCGCGUGCGGGAUGACGGCCUUCGGGUUGUAAACCGCUUUCGCCUGUGACGAAGCGUGAGUGACGGUAAUGGGUAAAGAAGCACCGGCUAACUACGUG